GAUGAACGCUGGCGGCGUGCCUAAUACAUGCAAGUCGAACGAACAGACACUAAGUGCUUGCACUUGAUGAUGGCGAGUGGCGGACGGGUAAGAAAUACAUAGGUAACCUAUCUCACUGGGGGGGAUACGAGAAGGAAAAGCCAAUAAAUGCUAACAUGGACAACGGCUCACAUCAUCAGGUAAAGACAGUUUGCGCGACCUAUCUCGAUGAAUUCGCGCCGCAUUAGCUAGUUGGUAGGGUAACGGCCUACCAAGGCAACGAUGCGUAGCCGACCUGAGAGGGUGAUCGGCCACACUGGAACUGAGACACGGUCCAGACUCCUACGGGAGGCAGCAGUAGGGAAUCUUCCGCAAUGGGCGAAAGCCUGACGGAGCAACGCCGCGUGAGUGAAGAAGGUCUUCGGAUCGUAAAGCUCUGUUGUUAGGGAAGAACAGCUGAGAGAGUAACUAUGAACGUUUUGACGGUACCUAAUCAGAAAGCCACGGCUAACUACGUG
RNAcentral lists this ribosomal RNA (497 nucleotides) under uncultured bacterium. RNAcentral describes it as "partial 16S ribosomal RNA". It matches the Rfam family "Bacterial small subunit ribosomal RNA", at positions 28 to 507 of the family's 1533-position model. The record is from RNAcentral.